CUUUUUCAAAUAAGAAAUAUCAGAAGUUCAACAUCUUUUAAGUACUGUAGUACCUUGUUUGUUUGCAGAGAUGGGAGAUGAGUAACCAAACCCUAGACUCUUCUCAACUGAUAUCACCUUCAUCUCUCUCAAUAAAUCCACUAGUUUCUAUCUUCAUCACCACUCUUAACUCAUCUCGCAAUCUCUUUCUAAUCAUCUAAGCUUCUUUUAGAAAAUUCAUCAUCUUCAGGGGGAAAGAAAUAAGGAGAGAAAAGAAGAUUAAAGUUUUGUGAAGGUUUCAUCUGCUGCAGUUAAGGUGAUUGGUUUGUCAAAAAGAGCAACUGAGGAAGAUCAUUAUCAGAUCCUGGUCUUUUCUUGUCCAAUCUCUAAUGGUAACCAAAAGGAAGUUUGUUACUGUGUAUGGUGGGGAUAGCUUUACCAUAACCACCGAUGAGCAAAAACACGCCGUUCCUUACCGAAAUAAUCAAUUUCAUACUUUUAAUGCUGUAAAUGGAAGAGGUCAUAGAGUUGUAGAUAUUUUACUUGUCAAUGGUUCGGCAGCUAAUACCCUUAGUCUUCUGGAAGUUGCUGGCGGUAAUGUGCUUAACAGCAGGGGAUUUGUUUGGGAUGGAGACACAAUGUAUCUUAUAAAAGAAGGUUAUGAUAUGAACUUGUCAGAGCUAAGAAUUUAUUUAGAGGGAUCAUUCGGCGCUGGCGUAGUCCCACCGCUAACAAGGCACAAUAAGUUACUGAGGCUUUCCACAAUAGCCGAAAAUGCAUUAAGCAGUCAAAGAGUUACAACAUUUAUUACGAACAGGGGAGAUUUCUCCUCUUUAGGCCGGAAAGUUGUCACGAAUGUAACUGCUGGUUUGACCACUUAUACAGAAGAGGGUUUUAGAGUUGCUGAUUUGAGUGAAUGUAAUAUCGCAGUCAAGCUGAUGAGGGACUGUAGUAUUAGAUUCAAGCUCAUUGCACCUCUAGCUGCUGUCACUGGUCGCAAUGCUUUUAGACAAGCCUAUGUGGAUUUCCUAAGGGUUUUGCGUGGUGUGAAUCAAGCAGACACUCCAGUCUUGGCUGAUCUCUUCCAGAUGCUCACUCCUCCGGAGGAUCAUUUGGACUCGAUUCUCUGGAGGCAAGCUGAGGAUUUCGUAACAGCUCCACGAUCUGUUCUUUUCCAUCCAUUUCAGUGGUAUGGAGAAGGGAUUUGCAGUUUUUUCACCUUGUAAGCAAAAUACUAGAGUUUGUGUGAUGGUUACAAUGGUAAUUAUUAUCAGAAUUGUGAAGGGGCAGUGCGGCAGUUUUUGGUUGACAUGGAUAGUAUUGACCGUACGGGAGCUGGUGGCAAUUUGGACUGGAGUCAAACUAUUCAAGCUGAAUCAGCUGAUGUAUGGGAGAUGAUUGAUGCUGGGUAUACUGCACGUCAGCGUACUAGUCCACUACACUUGAUCAGGCUUAUUAGGAAUAAGUAUGAGCAUAUUGAAGACAUAAACAGAUUAGUAUACCAACAUAAAUUAGGAUACCAACAUACAUAAACAGAUUUCUAUUUUAUCCAUGAUUUACACUUGGAAACUCACUUCUUGCUCACAUGGUAAAAGCUUUGGACAUAUAAGUAUAAAUGUAUCUCAAAUUCUGCUCCAAAAGUUAUCAGAAAGAAGUUCUUGAGGAGACUGCAGAUACAUAUUGGUGUUUCUUCGACUCUCUGUUUCCGCGCCUGUUGAUUGACUCAUAUAGGGUAGUGCAAAAACACUACCGUACGCUGGGAAGUGUUUUUAGGGGCUACUCGCAUGUUGACAGUAUGAAGGAGUAUAUUGGUUGGGGCAAGUUCUGAAAGUGCCAGAAUGGAAGAAGCUCUAAAGUAUGCCAUUUAAGUGUGCCAGGAAGAAAUAGUUUAAUAGUUGAUUAGAACCUGCUAUUUACUCUUCCUUGUUUGUUUUUUGUUACUUGUUGCACACAUGAUUUAUGGUAUCCAUUAUCCACUCACUGGACUGUCAUUUUGCAGCGCACAAUUUUAGAAUGGUUGUUUUCGUAAAAUAUU
Molecule: RNA transcript, 2014 nt
Organism: Papaver somniferum (opium poppy)
Lineage: Eukaryota; Viridiplantae; Streptophyta; Magnoliopsida; Ranunculales; Papaveraceae
Exons: 6
Source: RefSeq, a predicted model, not a curated record